This is a long non-coding RNA of Rhipicephalus microplus (southern cattle tick), 386 nucleotides long. The record is from RefSeq and is a predicted model, not a curated record. NCBI's taxonomy places the organism in Eukaryota, Metazoa, Arthropoda, Arachnida, Ixodida, Ixodidae.
UAAUUCGGUUUAGAAAUCAUCCUAUAUAUACCCAGGGAAAUGUCGACUGGCACACAUAUUCAAGAGCUGGUGAGCCUAGUACUGUUGUUUCAAAUAAAGAUUUCCUGUACAAGAUGAAGGUUUCUGCAACCUUUUCGCUGAUUACAAUCUUGACAGUGUUCGUGAUCAUGAUCUGCAGAACCGAGGCAGCAGAACUGGAACGUCACGUCCGUCUCCGUCGUGCUACUGGUUGCCCUAACAUAGAUAAGUGCAUCGACAGCUGCCGGAAGGAAGGCCACUCAACUGGGUAUUGCCUGCCGAUGAUAAUACAAAUUUGUGUUUGCUUCUAGCAAAUGCACAUGCUUUCAGAAACGUGUCAAUAAAGAUCAAUAUUGUGAGCAUUCAUA